Long non-coding RNA from Aphis gossypii (cotton aphid), 2777 nucleotides. RefSeq lists it as uncharacterized. The record is from RefSeq and is a predicted model, not a curated record. NCBI's taxonomy places the organism in Eukaryota, Metazoa, Arthropoda, Insecta, Hemiptera, Aphididae. The transcript is spliced from 3 exons.
ACGAGCUGCUACUGCGUUUUUUAAUUAAAUUAAAAUAUAAAUGUAAUUAUUAUAUUAUAUGUGUAUAGGCAUCCAAAAGAGAUACUCAAUAGUGGCUGCUCCAACGCCACAAUUAGCGAGAGUGCUGGCGGUGCACCGCACUCCCAAAAAAGCCUAUAUUAUUUAUUACAUUUAUAUAUUAUUGUCCUUUUCCAGACAUAUAUGAAUAUUCAUUUUAAACCAGUAGGUAAUAAAAUUAUAUUCCAAUUCACAACACAUGAUGAAAACUUGAAAAUAGUAGAAAUUUUUCGAUACCAACAAGUUACGUUCAACAUCUAAUAUGUUUUUUAUAUAGGUAAUAUUUAUUAGGUACCUACCAUUGUGAAGAUGAAACUUUAUACAAUCAAUUUUUUAAUUUCACUUUUUUGUUAAAUAAUAUUUUUCGACUUUGUGUUAUUAUUAAAGGUGUUAUCUGAUAAACGAUUAAGAAAAAAAAUUAAAAGAUAGUGCUAUUUUAAGACAAUAGGGCAGUGUGUGUGUGGGGCAUUGUGACUGCGUGUAUAUUUUUUUUUAACAUUUCCAGUGACUUUAGCUUCUGUAGAGCGCUCUUUUUCGAAAUUAAAACUCAUAAAAAAGUACUCGAGAAAUUCUAUUAACCAAGAACGAUUAUUAAACAUAGCUAGCUGUACUGAACAUUGAAAAUAAAAUACAAGAAUUAAAUAGGUAUUGAAAAAAUAACUAUCAAUUUUGCUCAUAAUAAAGCUAGAAACAAAUUUCCCAAAACAAUAAAAAAAAUAUUCGUAUCUUAUUAUACAAUUAAAAUUGUAUUCAUUUCAGUGUUAUAGUAUAGUCUUUCCAUGAACAGCUGUUAUAAUAAAUUGUAUUAAUAUUAUGUAGUGUUUAUUUAUGCUUACAAAUUAAAAAAUAACAACUGAGAUGAAAACAGAUAAUAUGAUUCACAUUUCAAAUAGAGGCCUUAAUAAGUUGAUAUAUUUUUGUCUACAUUACAUUAUAUAAUGUACAGAAUAAGUACUCUUACAUUUUGGACAUUUGUGUAUAAUUUAUUAUAUAACAUUUAUAAAGUACUAAACUAUCGUUUUAACCAAAAUCAACUUAAUAAAAUAGGUAACUUAAAUAUAAUUUGUCUAAUAUAAAGAAUAGUGGUCGUUAUUGAAAUGGUAAGUGCAGUAGGUAUACAAUAUGUAUUUUAAACAUAUUUCCAUUAUUAUUUGUAUUAUUAUAAAGAUUAUGGUUUAAUUAUUUUAAUUUUAAAAUAAUAUUAAUUAAAUAUUUAAUAAAUUUCAGUUCUAUAUUAAUUAACGUUAGUCUAUAGUCUAUAUAUAGUCAUUUUAUAUAGUAGUAUAGAUAUGGAUAUAGAUUCAAUACGAAUAUUGGAUAUUGUUGGUGCACGUGCAAUAAACUUUUAGGAAUUACGCCGAUAUCAAACACAAUACAAUUUGAAGAACAAAAAGGCCAGUUUGCAGGAACUUGGUUAUCAAAAUAUCGUCGCAGAACAAUAAAUGAAAAUUACUUUGCUGGUUUUUUAGAUUUUGUAGUAUCUAAAAAUCUUAUUAAAACUACUCAUGGAUUAUACGAGCUAAUUGGGCCAAUCGCUAACGCAUCUACAGAUAAUUUGUAUCGUGCGUGUUUAGAAAUUAAUGGUUUUCCAAGGUCUUGGAAACAGUGGCGGUUUUGGUUGUAUUUUUUUAGUGAGGCAACGUUCCCCUCCCUUCAUAACAAAAAUUAAACUUAUAUUUAAAUCGGUUUCAUUAGGCUCUGUGACAAUGGAAACAGUUUAUGAUUAUUUAUAUCUAUGUGUUGUUGUUUAUCGUGCUGCAAUUACAGCUUCGGGCUGACCAUAAUAUUACCUACUCAUCUAUUUUUAGUACUUAGAGGCGAUGAAAAACGAGCCUCACGAUUAUCAUUGCACUUACGCAAUUUUGCUUAUUUAACAGUCGCGCGUAUUCACGUACUUACGUGUGUGUGUGUGUGUGUGUGUGUGUGUGUGUGUGUAAUUCUUGUACACAAGUAACAAUAAUUCAGAGACGACGUUAAACGGUGCUCUCCGACGUCAUCGGAAUAUUGCCGCCGGCUAAAAUAUGAGGGUUUGAUUACGUAAUAAUUAUUUCAUACAUUUCUUAUCGGUUUAUCACUAUUUUUGGUAAUAAACACGGAAUAAUAUUAUACAAUAGUAAAAUAAAUGAUAAUUCAUAUUAUUAAACUUCGUAAACAAGAUUAUUUUUUUCAAACAAAACUAUAAAUACGUCAAAAAUUGUUAGCGAAAUGUGUGCUAUCGGUGAGCUAUGCAUUAUACUCUUAGAGUAUUAUUUACUACAAAAUUUUAGCUGAGGCACUACCUCACUUGCCUCACCCUCAAAACCGCCACUGCUUGGAAAUAUAUUUCAACACAAUUCCCUAGUAAAAUUAAUAAUUUCAAUAAAAAAUUGGCAAUAAGAUGAAAAUAUGCAACCAACUGUUUAGUGCAAGAAACGAUGACGAAGAGUUAUAAGUUUGUCGAAAAAUUACUGCUAGUAAUAAAUUCAAAGAUUCGUGCCAAUCGUGCAAUUAAAAAAAAAAAGAAGUUCCAUUAUUGCGUAGGAUGUUUGAAAAAAAGUUGGUUAACUCAAUGGCAGUUGUCGAUUUCGAUAUCACAAAGGUACAGAAAAAAAUACCUGCACUUGAGAAAAGACUCAAUGAUUGUUGAAAAAAGAAAAAGCAAAAGUAAAUGUAAAUAUCACCUGCAUACACAUUUUAAUUUGAUGUUUCUAACAAUAUAAAUAAAUUUCUAAAUUUAAUGU